This 303-nucleotide ribosomal RNA is filed under the name Triticum aestivum (bread wheat). RNAcentral's name for it is "partial small subunit ribosomal RNA". Lineage: Eukaryota; Viridiplantae; Streptophyta; Magnoliopsida; Poales; Poaceae. The record is from RNAcentral.
AUGAAUGCCAUCUCUGCCGGGGCGUACAGGCGUAUAUAUGGAUUUUUAUACACUGUCACGGAGCGAGCCUCCCGUCGUGGCGGCAGCAAGGUGAGGCGACAAUGCUCUGCACUGUGCAUGGACCGACUCAUCAAGGAAGAAAUCUUUUUCGAAAAGAACAAGAGAAAAAUAUCAGUCGCCAUGGAAUGGAAGGGUGCAGUGGCAGGUUUUCCUCACCGCCGUAGGGCAAUGGCGCCAGCCAAUCUACCUAUACCUAUCUACAGUAGUACAUCUAGUGGUGCUCCUAUGUGGCUGGCUAGCUAG